AGAGUGAAUAGAGCAUUUUACCUUGCCACCAGCAAUCUAUGAGAGAUCUAUUUGCUCCCCAUCUUCAUCAGCAUUUGCUUUCCUUAUUCCUGAAAAUGACCAAGCCAAGAUUUCUGGGAAGAUAUGGAGAGAAACUAUUAUGAAAUGGAAAGGGGCCUGAGCUGGGUGGAAUGAGAUCAGUGAAAAGUCCUGGGGGUACUCCACCAAAAAAACAUCAAAAGAAGAACUGAAAAUGAAAGUAAAGCCUAUGUUGAAUUAGAAAGUGACUGCCUUUGUAAAAUAAAAUUUAAUUAAAAGCA
Molecule: long non-coding RNA, 299 nt
Organism: Homo sapiens (human)
Lineage: Eukaryota; Metazoa; Chordata; Mammalia; Primates; Hominidae
Exons: 2
Source: RefSeq, a predicted model, not a curated record